GCAAUUUACUCACAGAACUGAGCUUUGGGACAUUUGAAGCAUGGCAUGGAAUGCAGUUUUUAAACCAAGUAAUUCUCAAUCAUAAUCCUCUGAGGACUGUCAAAGAUUCAUCUCUUUUUAAAUUACCAGCAUUAAAAUAUCUAGACUUGGGACAAACACAUGUGCCACUUACAGCACUUGAGAACAUAGUCACAAUGGCUUUGGAAUUGGAAACAUUGUAAGUUAGUUUUGUUUUUCUUAGAUUUAUUCGACUAGGGUGUUUUGGUUAAUUUUUUUAUUAUUAUUAUUUUAGUUUGUUAGUACAUGUGUGUAUGUCAUAAUGAUUACAUUCCUUGGAGGAGGAG
Molecule: long non-coding RNA, 344 nt
Filed under: Chinchilla lanigera (long-tailed chinchilla)
Lineage: Eukaryota; Metazoa; Chordata; Mammalia; Rodentia; Chinchillidae
Description: lncRNA (ENSCLAG00000022738.1)
Source: RNAcentral